Molecule: small nuclear RNA, 105 nt
Organism: Sarcophilus harrisii (Tasmanian devil)
Lineage: Eukaryota; Metazoa; Chordata; Mammalia; Dasyuromorphia; Dasyuridae
Source: Ensembl
GUUUGCUUUGGCCCCACAUAUACAAAAAUUGGAACAAUUCAGAGAAAAUUAGCAUGGCUCCUGAAUAAGGAUGACAUGCAAAUUUGUGAAUAAUUCAUUUUUUUA